This 460-nucleotide ribosomal RNA is filed under the name uncultured bacterium. RNAcentral describes it as "partial 16S ribosomal RNA". It matches the Rfam family "Bacterial small subunit ribosomal RNA", at positions 338 to 795 of the family's 1533-position model. The record is from RNAcentral.
CCUACGGGCGGCAGCAGUGAGGAAUAUUGGUCAAUGGACGAGAGUCUGAACCAGCCAAGUAGCGUGAAGGAUGACUGCCCUAUGGGUUGUAAACUUCUUUUAUAUGGGAAUAAAAUGUUCCACGUGUGGGUUUUUGUAUGUACCAUAUGAAUAAGGAUCGGCUAACUCCGUGCCAGCAGCCGCGGUAAUACGGAGGAUCCGAGCGUUAUCCGGAUUUAUUGGGUUUAAAGGGAGCGUAGGUGGAUUGUUAAGUCAGUUGUGAAAGUUUGCGGCUCAACCGUAAAAUUGCAGUUGAUACUGGCAGUCUUGAGUACAGUAGAGGUGGGCGGAAUUCGUGGUGUAGCGGUGAAAUGCUUAGAUAUCACGAAGAACUCCGAUUGCGAAGGCAGCUCACUGGACUGCAACUGACACUGAGGCUCGAAAGUGUGGGUAUCAAACAGGAUUAGAUACCCCAGUAGUC